Molecule: ribosomal RNA, 403 nt
Filed under: bacterium
Lineage: Bacteria
Description: partial 16S ribosomal RNA
Rfam family: Bacterial small subunit ribosomal RNA
Source: RNAcentral
UGGGGAAUAUUGCACAAUGGAGGGAACUCUGAUGCAGCGACGCCGCGUGAACGAAGAAGGCUUUCGAGUCGUAAAGUUCUUUUAUAUGGGAAGAUAAUGACGGUACCAUAAGAAGAAGCCCCGGCUAACUACGUGCCAGCAGCCGCGGUAAUACGUAGGGGGCUAGCGUUGUCCGGAAUCACUGGGCGUAAAGGGUUCGCAGGCGGAAAUGCAAGUCAGGUGUAAAAGGCAGUAGCUUAACUACUGUAAGCAUUUGAAACUGCAUAUCUUGAGAAGAGUAGAGGUAAGUGGAAUUUUAAGUGUAGCGGUGAAAUGCGUAGAUAUUAAAAAGAAUACCGGUGGCGAAGGCGACUUACUGGGCUCAUUCUGACGCUGAGGAACGAAAGCGUGGGUAGCAAACAGG